CAGCCGCCGCGGUAAUACAGAGGGUGCAAGCGUUAAUCGGAAUUACUGGGCGUAAAGCGCGCGUAGGUGGUUUGGUAAGUUAGAGGUGAAAGCCCGGAGCUCAACUCCGGAAUUGCCUUUAAGACUGCCGAGCUAGUAGGUGAGAGAGGUAAGUGGAAUUCCGAGUGUAGAGGUGAAAUUCGUAGAUAUUCGGAAGAACACCAGUGGCGAAGGCGGCUUACUGGCUCAUUCUAGACGCUGAGGUGCGAAAGCGUGGGGAGCAAACAGGAUUAGAUACCCCUGUAGUCCCUGUCUCUUAUAC
This 301-nucleotide ribosomal RNA is filed under the name uncultured bacterium. Its description in RNAcentral is "partial 16S ribosomal RNA". It matches the Rfam family "Bacterial small subunit ribosomal RNA", at positions 509 to 807 of the family's 1533-position model. The record is from RNAcentral.